RNAcentral lists this ribosomal RNA (229 nucleotides) under uncultured bacterium. RNAcentral describes it as "partial 16S ribosomal RNA". It matches the Rfam family "Bacterial small subunit ribosomal RNA", at positions 568 to 796 of the family's 1533-position model. The record is from RNAcentral.
UCCGUAGGCGGGCAAUUAAGUCAGAGGUGAAAUCCCACAGCUCAACUGUGGAACUGCCUUUGAUACUGGUUGUCUUGAGUUACAGUGAAGUAGAUAGAAUAUGUAGUUUAGCGGUGAAAUGCAUAGAUAUUACAUAGAAUACCGAUUGCGAAGGCAGUCUACUAACUGUAUACUGACGCUAAUGGACGAAAGCGUGGGGAGCGAACAGGAUUAGAUACCCUGGUAGUCC